This 97-nucleotide transfer RNA is filed under the name Armillaria solidipes. Its description in RNAcentral is "tRNA-Glu". It matches the Rfam family "tRNA". From Rfam's summary of the family: Transfer RNA (tRNA) molecules are approximately 80 nucleotides in length. The record is from RNAcentral. Lineage: Eukaryota; Fungi; Basidiomycota; Agaricomycetes; Agaricales; Physalacriaceae.
UCGGAUAUGGUGUAACGGCUAACAUUGCCGCCUCUCAUAAAAUGGGUUGAACCUGUAAUUAACGCGGCAGCUCGGGGUUCGAUUCCCCGUAUCCGAA